GUGUUAUUGAGUAUUUGUUGGAGCUCAGUUCUGACUGAGAGGCAAUAAAAACAGACUCAUCAAAGAGAACUGAGGAGCCAACUGGGAACAGUCAGAAACUCCUGAUUCAGCAUGUGACGGAAUUCCAGAUUCAGCUCAUGACCCACAGAGAGGAAAGAGCUUCUUGAUGGUGUAGCAGGAGUAUUUGGUGAUCAACGGUAUCAAAUACCAUAGAAAGAUCCAGCAGGAUGAGGAUGGAGGAGAUCAUCCACCAGAACAAGUGCUGUCUCUGUACCAUGCCCUGGCUUGAAGCCUGGCUGGGACGGAUCCAGGAUACUGGGAGCUGGUGUUUGCUUCUUACAGACCUCUCUGAUGGCAAGGACCUGUAACGGACUUUCACUAGAGAGAAACCCAGCAGAGUUCAGCUAUUUCUGGAGAAGACUUUAUGAUAGUUGCAUAAGUCUUGAAAGUUCUCAUCCUACUUAAGUCUUGGUAUCUGCACAAAUCAGGUGUUUCUUUAAUGGUGGAGAUAAAAACUAAUCACACUUGCCUGUCAGUUUGUUUGUCUUCUCAUUAGAAUAACAUUUAGACAAUAAAAAGGUAAAUGCUAGCAAUUUCUUCUGUACCCCGUGUUCUAGGAACAGAAUCCUCAGAAGCCAAAGGGGAAAAUAUGUGGACUAAAUCCAUAGUUUGCUGACUGAAAGUGGGGAAACUGGAAAAAAUAAGAAUUUAUUAGUGUCCAGGCAUUUUGAAUUGUUUGUCAACAGUUGUGGUUCAUUAAAAUGACAAGUUAGCACUCAGAAUAUUGAAUGCCCUGUCAUUCCACGUAGGCCUGUUUGUCUCUCACCAUGCUGAACUGGUGAAGAAGAAAUGCUGUCUCCAGAGGAACUGAAUUAGUGCUGGGAAUCAGCAGAUGAAGAAACGAUACAAUAGCCUGUAUUUGUAAAUAGCAGAUGAUGGAUACAAGGAAAUUAGUGAAGAGUGGCAAAGGGUUGAAUUGGAAGUGAAGACCAAACUACUUCUCACCUCCAUGAGAACUCCAUGGUCCCUUCAUCUCAGACUAGUGUACUUUGACAAGACAGUGUGGGAAAGCUUACAUUGCUUUUACCCGUUUUGAACUUGGUCUGUGUAUGAAGCGAACGAAUUUAGUUUCCUAUGAAUGGCUCACCUUUCAUAAGCAAUAAAUUCACACACACACAUAAUGUGAAAUGGAAAAAGUACUUACUUGAAAGAGCAUUUACUGGAUUUGGUCAGGAUAAUUGUCUUUCCGAUAUCAUUAAGAGAUGAAAUCUUUGUAUGUUAGAUUAUUAUUCUUAGUUUUCUGAAGAAGUUGAAUAUUACAGUUGUUCAAAAAUAAUGAAACAUCUAUGAAGGGACACAGAGAUCUACAAAACUGGUCAGUAAAUGGACUCCCUGUGGAGCUGGAAUUCUUAAUAGUCCUCCAAUAUCUGAUGAGGGGAGGCUCUUACAGGUUGAAUCCUGUACCUAAUCUAAGCUAAAUUGUCCUGCACUAACAGUUUUCCUGAAUUUUGAAAACAAAAUGAAGUGAAUACAAUGGAAGGAGAGAUGAGAGGAAAGAGGGAAGGGGGGAAAUGAAUGAGAAAAGGAACUGUAUUGCUAACAAGCUUCUGAAGUGAUUAUUGCUGGUUUUUGAGAAAUUCACUGUAGUAAAAUCAGAAAGUCUGAGGUAUUCUCCCACUUCUAAAACACCUUUCUGUAACAGAGCUUUGUAUUGCGGGAAUCAAGCAGGAAUGCAGCACUGUUUUGGGGUUUUUUUUUAAAGCAGAGUACUUGUGGUUAAAAGGCCUUAUCCAUAGCUCAGUUAAGUCAAUGUAAAGACUCCAAUUGACUUCAAUAGACUUUGGAUCAGACCCAAAGUGUAGGACUGGGAACUGGGAGAGUUUUGUUCUAUGCCCAGCUCUGCCACAGGCUUCCUGCAUAACCCCAAGCAAGACAUUUAAGUUCUGUGCGUCAGUUUCCCCAUCUUUAAAGGAUUUAUUGUACUUCCUAGAGGUAUUGUCAGGCUUGAUACUUUGUAAAACAUUUUGAUACCCUUAGGAAAAAAAAUAAUAAAGGAUUAGAGGAUGGUAAUGUAAUUAAUGCAAAUCAACAUGAGUUUAUGGAAAAUA
Trachemys scripta elegans is the source of this 2108-nucleotide long non-coding RNA. RefSeq lists it as uncharacterized. The transcript has 3 exons. The record is from RefSeq and is a predicted model, not a curated record. NCBI's taxonomy places the organism in Eukaryota, Metazoa, Chordata, Testudines, Emydidae.